RNAcentral lists this non-coding RNA (950 nucleotides) under Pongo abelii (Sumatran orangutan). The record is from RNAcentral. Lineage: Eukaryota; Metazoa; Chordata; Mammalia; Primates; Hominidae.
CCUUACUGACCUGCAUUAUCUUGUGGAUACCUGAGUGAAUUCCACACCACCCAUUUUAUAGAUGAAGCCACUGAGACGUGGAGCAACUGACUGAGUAGUCACUGCCCCACCCCUGCCUGGAGCCUCACACAUGACUUCUCUUAGUGACCACAGGUUGGUUGAGGGGUUUAACAAGGCUAAGAAGGUGAGACGUGGUCUUGUAACACAGUGGUUAAGAAUGUGACUUUGGAGCCAGCCUGCUAGGGGCUGAAUUCUGACUCAGCCAUUUAUUAACUGUGUGACCUUAGGGAGGAGGACCUGGUUGAUAGAAGAAUUUAUCUCAUAGUCUUAACAUCCACUGUAAUUCCGAACUUUGAGGACGAUAGAGAUCAGUGGGCUUUGACUGCCCAGCAUGCAGUCUCCAUUCUUAGAUGGAGUCUCACUCUGUAGCCCAAGCUGGAGUGGCGUGAUCUCGACUCACUGCAACCUCCGCCUCCUGGGCUCAAGUGAUUCUCGUGCCUCAGCCUCCUGAGUAGCUGGGACUACAGGUCAUAGAAUUUUCCACACUCCUUGACGGAGGUUCUUAACCCUUAUCCAUCAGCAUUCUCAGACAGCACCUCCGGUUAGGGACAGUAUCUGACCGUCCGACAUCCCUGCAGCCCCCAUGCUGUCACACAGACUCAGCCUCAGGUAGAUGGUUUCCGUAGAUGGUGGCUUUCUUUGGACCCUUGAUAUCAACCAGUUACUAUUUGGGGACCAGAUGUGCAGAGGUAAUGAAUACCAGGGAAUCAGGAAACCACUGGAUCAGUUCUUUGAGCCAUAGAACAACACUCAUCCCAGCAGCUGGGAAGCUAUCUGCAAAAGUCCAUCUGCAGAAAGGGCUUCCUGGUCUUGCGUGUGGCUGGGCCAUUUCUCUGGAUGCAGGUUUUUCAUUAUACAGUCUUCUCAAAGGACCACCUGCUCUCAACACC